GUCAAAACAAUCGCGUCGCUUGCUCGCGCGACGCGCUCUGGACCUUCGCGGCCCGUUAAAUCCGGCGCUCACCGUAUCCCGCUUUGCUCGGCUCGGCGGGGUUGGUGUUGCGCCCGGUGGGCCCCGUGGUCUUAAGCACAAGCCGCGCCGUUGUCCGUGUUCGUCUCGGGACGUCCGCGACGCCGCCUUGCUCUCGGCGGCGGCCAAAUUUCCUCUCCGUCACCGCCAUGCGGGACCCGGCUCGCUCUCGCUAACGGGCCCGCUUGUAACCAGCUCAAGGGUGAUUGCGGAGGAGAGAAGCUUACGCAGACGCGCUCGCUUGACGUAUCGGCGCCCGUACGAAGAAAAAAAAAUUAUUUUUUUUUUACCAAUUUCCGACCUCAGAUCGGACGAGAUUAC
This 399-nucleotide unclassified non-coding RNA is filed under the name Orientogalba viridis. Its description in RNAcentral is "sequence contains ITS2". The record is from RNAcentral. Lineage: Eukaryota; Metazoa; Mollusca; Gastropoda; Lymnaeidae.